GACGAACGCUGGCGGCGUGCUUAACACAUGCAAGUCGAACGGAAAGGCCCUGCUUUUGUGGGGUGCUCGAGUGGCGCACGGGUGAGUAACACGUGAGUAACCUGCCCUUGACUUUGGGAUAACUUCAGGAAACUGGGGCUAAUACCGGAUAGGAGCUCCUGCUGCAUGGUGGGGGUUGGAAAGUUUCGGCGGUUGGGGAUGGACUCGCGGCUUAUCAGCUUGUUGGUGGGGUAGUGGCUUACCAAGGCUUUGACGGGUAGCCGGCCUGAGAGGGUGACCGGCCACAUUGGGACUGAGAUACGGCCCAGACUCCUACGGGAGGCAGCAGUGGGGAAUAUUGCACAAUGGGCGGAAGCCUGAUGCAGCAACGCCGCGUGCGGGAUGACGUCCUUCGGGUUGUAAACCGCUUUCGCCUGUGACGAAGCGUGAGUGACGGUAAUGGGUAAAGAAGCACCGGCUAACUACGUG
RNAcentral lists this ribosomal RNA (468 nucleotides) under uncultured bacterium. RNAcentral describes it as "partial 16S ribosomal RNA". It matches the Rfam family "Bacterial small subunit ribosomal RNA", at positions 28 to 507 of the family's 1533-position model. The record is from RNAcentral.